This 124-nucleotide ribosomal RNA is filed under the name Propithecus coquereli (Coquerel's sifaka). Lineage: Eukaryota; Metazoa; Chordata; Mammalia; Primates; Indriidae. The record is from RNAcentral.
UUUUACAUUUUUAAACGGUUGGGGAGAAUGUGCCAGAUCUCUUCUGAUCUUGGAAGCUAAGAAGGGUUGGUCAUGGUUAGUACUUUGACAGGAGACCACCUGAGAAUACCAGGUACUGUAGGCU